UACGUAGGUGGCGAGCGUUGUCCGGAUUUACUGGGCGUAAAGAGCGCGCAGGCGGUCGUACAAGUCGCGUGUGAAAGCCCCCGGCUCAGCUGGGGAGGGUCACGCGAUACUGUUCGACUCGAAGGCAGGAGAGGGUAGUGGAAUUCCCGGUGUAGUGGUGAAAUGCGUAGAUAUCGGGAGGAACACCAGUGGCGAAGGCGGUUGCCUGGGGCUUUGCUGACGCUGAUGCGCGAAAGCGUGGGGAGCGAUCCGG
This 253-nucleotide ribosomal RNA is filed under the name uncultured bacterium. RNAcentral describes it as "partial 16S ribosomal RNA". It matches the Rfam family "Bacterial small subunit ribosomal RNA", at positions 524 to 776 of the family's 1533-position model. The record is from RNAcentral.